Molecule: unclassified non-coding RNA, 228 nt
Filed under: uncultured fungus
Lineage: Eukaryota; Fungi
Description: sequence contains ITS1, 5.8S rRNA gene
Rfam family: 5.8S ribosomal RNA (bases 180-228)
Source: RNAcentral
UUUCCGUAGGUGAACCUGCGGAAGGAUCAUUACUGAGUGAGGGCCUCCGGUCCGACCUCCAACCCUUUGUGAACCAACACUGUUGCUUCGGGGGCGACCCUGCCGUUCGCGGCGUGGGGCCCCCGGAGCCCAUCAAACCCUGCGUAACUAAGUCGUCGGAGUUUAAACAAAUUAAACAAAACUUUCAACAACGGAUCUCUUGGUUCGGGCAUCGAUGAAGAACGCAGC